RNAcentral lists this small nucleolar RNA (135 nucleotides) under Echinops telfairi (small Madagascar hedgehog). Its description in RNAcentral is "Small nucleolar RNA SNORA84 (ENSETEG00000026717.1)". It matches the Rfam family "Small nucleolar RNA SNORA84". The record is from RNAcentral. Lineage: Eukaryota; Metazoa; Chordata; Mammalia; Afrosoricida; Tenrecidae.
GCCCAGCGGUUGCCGGGUGCUGUUGCUCAGGUACAGCUUUCCAGUCAAUGGCAAUGGGCCAGAGCAAUGCUGUGAUGUAUGCAUGGGGGCUGUUCCUUUUCAGCAGCCUCCAUAGCCCCGGUCACUGGUACAUGG